CCUACGGGUGGCAGCAGUGAGGAAUAUUGGUCAAUGGACGAGAGUCUGAACCAGCCAAGUAGCGUGAAGGAUGACUGCCCUAUGGGUUGUAAACUUCUUUUAUAUGGGAAUAAAACGUUCCACGUGUGGGAUUUUGUAUGUACCAUAUGAAUAAGGAUCGGCGAACUCCGGGCCAGCAGCCGCGGUAAUACGGAGGAUCCGAGCGUUAUCCGGAUUUAUUGGGUUUAAAGGGAGCGUAGGUGGAUUGUUAAGUCAGUUGUGAAAGUUUGCGGCUCAACCGUAAAAUUGCAGUUGAAACUGGCAGUCUUGAGUACAGUAGAGGUGGGCGGAAUUCGUGGUGUAGCGGUGAAAGGCUUAGAUAUCACGAAGAACUCCGAUUGCGAAGGCAGCUCACUGGACUGCAACUGACACUGAGGCUCGAAAGUGUGGGUAUCAAACAGGAUUAGAUACCCGAGUAGUC
RNAcentral lists this ribosomal RNA (460 nucleotides) under uncultured bacterium. RNAcentral's name for it is "partial 16S ribosomal RNA". It matches the Rfam family "Bacterial small subunit ribosomal RNA", at positions 338 to 795 of the family's 1533-position model. The record is from RNAcentral.